Molecule: long non-coding RNA, 2096 nt
Organism: Zonotrichia leucophrys gambelii
Lineage: Eukaryota; Metazoa; Chordata; Aves; Passeriformes; Passerellidae
Exons: 7
Source: RefSeq, a predicted model, not a curated record
GGUUGAGAAGGGAAUUGAAGUCAGUUGGCUGCUUUGUGAAGAAGUAAGAGGCAGUGCUUGAAGGAGCAGCCAACAAGAGCCACCAAGAAGAAACCAGACUUUGCAAGUUUGACCUGAGGAUGAAAUACUCUGAAAGAAAUUUUACUGCAUUAUACUACUUUUUAUGGAACUUCUGGAUACCUGAGUUUCCUUUGCAAUUUCAUAGGAUUUCAAAGUGGUCAGAAGUCCAAGGCUUGCUUUUGGUCCAGCAAAGAUAUCCUGAGCUGUAAAGAAACGUUUAAGAUCUCCUCUGACACUAGAAGUCUUUGCUUUAGUAACCCCCAAGGCCUGGAUCCCUUGGGGACAUGGACCCCACGCCCACAAAGUUUUGUGAGUAUUUAAUUCCCUUUAGGAAAAGGGAAACUCACCUCCCUGCAAAGGAGCAGCACACACGGAAACCAGGGCACUGCUGGCAGGAUAUGAGGUGUGAGGGAGCUUCAAGCCUUCCCUGUUCAGACCCCAAAGAAGCAUCUGAGAGUCUUGCUGGAUUGUGAAGAACAAGAAGGUGACAUAGAAAACUUCCAGGACUUGGUCUCCAUUAAAAGAAAUGAUCAAGUUUGUGCUCCAACAGUUCAAGAUUUUCAAAAACAUGCUGCUAUUUUAAUGUUCAUGGUAUUUUCCCCCUAAAUAUUUAGACUGUGUCAUGGCAACAGCUGCUUUUAGUUCUAAAUUUGUUUUGCCAUCCUUCAUUUAAGAAAAAAAAUGGCAGUUUCAAUUUUUUCCCCUUAAAUGUAAAAUUCAGUAUUUUAAACUUAACUAUAAACAGCUAUACCAAUGGUUUGUGGUCUGCUUUGGAUUCUCUAUGUAAACGGAAAUUACCAUACUGAUUGCUAUUCAUUAUGAAGAGGCACCUAAAACUAUAAGAUAAAGGCAAAUAUAAAGUAUGCACAAUGCGUGUUGUAGGUUUUUUGGAAGCGGGAUGGCAAGUAGAGGGUAAGUAGCAAAAUUAGUAUUCUCAGUACAUAUUUAAAAAUCAAGAAGUAAGCUAAAAAUAAUUGUAUCAUAACAGGGGCAAUCAAUGGUCCAAUUUUUUCCAGUGCAUGAGUGCAAAGCGGAUUGAAUAACUGAAUGUACAAAUUCUUGAUAUUAACAACUGAACGUUUUAUUGCCCAAGACAGAGCUAAGGAAAAGGACAUUAAAGAUCCUUAAAUGUAACUAUUAACAAAUGUAGCACAAUUAAUUGUUGCUGCUGUCAUUAUUGCUAGUAUAUUUGAAGAGUGCUGGAAGAAAAAUGUAGUGGAUUCCACAACAUGUAGUUUCUGAGUGCAUUUGGAUGAUUUCUUACCUUGGUCAAAAUAAGAGACUUAAUUCUGUUGCAGAAAUCCUACAUUUCUUUUUAGAGUAGUCUGAUCAGCAAGUAAAUCAGUCAAAUUUAAUGAAAAAAGUGCAUGCAAGUCUUUUGCCUACAUAAGCAAUACACAGGUCCUUAAUGGGUAUUUUAUUAAAAAAUAAACUGUUCUACUCAAAUUCUGAUUACCAACUGAUUAUUAUAAAUAUUUAUUCAACUUACAUAUAUUUAUAAGGGAACGGGACAAUGUACAGAUAGAAAAAGGUGCAAUGACUUAAUAUAAAAAGGAAACUGUUUUGACCUUUUAAAAAAUUUAAGUCUGAGAAAACCCUACUACUCUACUACCUAGUAGUAGUGAGACUUUACAGUAGAGCUGAAAUAUGCUGCUAGUUUUAGCUCUGAAGUGCCACUGCUUUAUGCAGGAUGGUUAAGGCAAGAUAUGUACUAAUGGCUGAUGGACAACAAAGAGAUUUAUAAUUGGAUUGUGCUUAUGAUCAAGAAACUACACCUUGCCACAGGAGGAACACACAAAACAGACAUACAGAUAUUUCAUACCAGUUAAUUCUGUACCACUCUUUCCCCUAUUUGUUUCAAAGCGAGAGUAUGAAUCUAUACAUGCUACUGUGUGUAUUGAUUUGCACAGAACCUGCUGGAUGCUUGAUCCAGGAAAGCUCCUUUCACUCCCUUAGUGGAAGUAACCAUACCAUUAAAGUUACAGUUUGUCAUAUGUGCAUCCUCCUCUGAAUCAGGGCUGUAAGCAUUGAAUAGG